AAAACAUCAAGGUGGUGUCCAUUAUCUAGUGUCCAAGUUGACAUUCUGACGGUUCAUUAUCUUGGGGGAUGCUUGAACCCCUUCUGCUUUAACGCUUUGCGUCAAAGUAAGGGGAUGUUAAAUAUAGUUUAGUUGUACAAAUUAUUUGGUAUUAGGCGUUGAUGGAAUGUAGUUUAGUUGUAAAAUUUUAAGGGAAUUUAAUUGAUAAUUCAUUUUAGGGUAAACAAAUGGUAUUUUGCGUAAAACGUCACUUAGGUGUUCUUUAGGUCUUGUCAAAGUUGAAAUUCUGACAAUUCAUUAUCUUGGGGGAUGCAGGAAACUAGGAAAGCUUAAUGUUUGAACCCCUUCUAUACUGUCGCCGCAUGGCCCUGCGGCAAAGAAAUUGUUGUCUUAGGAGUAUACUUUUCGCGGUACCUUCAGUAUCUCGUGUGUAUGUUUCUAGAACAUAUGUUUGUUCAUGUUCCUUAUCUUUUCCACUGCCUUCAAAUUCUAGUGCCAGAUAUUACCACCUUGCACAAGAUCCUAUAGGCAGUCGAGAAACACAGGAUUCGGAGUCUUAUAUAGGUUUUCUAAUUUCUAGAGUAAGAGUUGGAAACAAUGAGGAUGAGGUUUUCCAGUCCCUUCUGCAAGAUCACAGAUGCGUUAGUAUUUGUUUGUCGAAAAUCCUGGUUGAAAGACUGCUUAGGAGAUUUGAGGAUGAUUGGAAGUCUGCUUUGGGUUUUUUUCGAUGGGCUGGGAUGCAAGCUGAUUAUAGCCUCACUCAAGAAGCUUAUGAUAAGAUGGUGGACAUAUUGGGUAAAGCAAAGCAAUUGGAGAUGAUGUAUCUGUUGGUUGAGGAAAUGAAGGAGAAGAAUUAUGUCACGUUGAAAACAAUUGCUAAACUCAUGAGAAGGUUUGCUGGUGCUGGGAAACAUAAAGAUGCAGUUAAGAUGUUUGAUGACUUGGAAAGAUUCGGUUUGGAAAAGGAUACUGAAUCCAUGAACCUAUUGCUUGAUACCCUUUGCAAAGAAAAGAGAGUUGAGCAUGCCCGGGGGAUAUUUUUGGAACUGAAGAAACAUAUCUCCCCGAAUGCUCACACCUUUAAUAUUUUUGUACACGGCUGGUGCAGUGCCAAUAGGGUUGAUGAGGCAAACUGGACCAUCCAAGAGAUGAAAGGGCAUGGCUGUAUCCCCUGUGUCAUUAGUUACUCAACGGUCAUCCAGGCUUACUGUAAGCAACCCAACUUUAGUAAGGUUUAUGAGUUACUGGAUGAGAUGGACACUCAGGGUUGCUCCCCAAAUGUCGUCACUUACACCACUAUCAUACAUUACCUUGAUAAGGCAAAAAGAUAUGACGAAGCCCUAAAAGUUCGUGAGCGAAUGAAACUGACUGGAUGUAAACCAGAUACGCUUUUUUACAAUACGUUGAUCCACGUGUUGGGGAGAGCAAGUCGGUUACAAGAGGCGACUCGUGUUUUUGAAGUUGAGAUGCCCAUGAACAGCAUCAUUCCAAAUACUUCUACCUAUAAUACUAUGAUCACUAUGUUCUGCCAUCACUCUCAAGAACAAGCUGCUCUGAAUGUUCUUGACAAUAUGGAGAAGUCAGCACUCUGUAAGCCUGAUCUUCGUACAUUCAAUCCAUUAUUGAAAAUGUACUUUAGAGCUGGAAACACAGAUUCUAGUUUGAACGUGCUAUUGGAUGAUAUGGCUAAUAAACACUAUCUGGGUCUUGAUCUUUCUACUUCCACACUUUUAAUUCAUGGAUUUUGCAGGGCAAACAAAUUUGAGAGAGCUUGUAAAAUCUUUGAGGACAUGAUAAAACAAGAAAUUACACCUCGAUAUCAAACAUGCCGUUUGCUUCUUGAUGAAGUGAAACAAAAGAACGUGCAAGAUGCUUCUGACAGAAUAGAGAGUAUUAUGAGGCAAAUGAAGAAAUCCAAUUAGGAAAUGUCAUGAUUUGCUUGGGAAGACUUAAGUGCUUAUGUAAUUAUAUUGUUAAUUAGCCCUGCUGAUGCUGCAAGGAUAAAAGAUGGCGAUGAAUUGCAGCAGAUCUCUCAGAAGCCUCAUCCUCACAAAGGAGGCAGUUGGAGUUGUUAGUCGGAGAACAUUCGCUGCAGGUGCUAAAGCCAAGAAGAG
Molecule: RNA transcript, 2114 nt
Organism: Papaver somniferum (opium poppy)
Lineage: Eukaryota; Viridiplantae; Streptophyta; Magnoliopsida; Ranunculales; Papaveraceae
Gene name: pentatricopeptide repeat-containing protein At3g04130, mitochondrial-like
Exons: 2
Source: RefSeq, a predicted model, not a curated record